CUAUUAACGGUUUGUUGUAAUUCUUGUUUUUCUUUUUCUCCAACAGUCCGACAUAUAUAAUAAUGUUUUCUUUUUUCCUUAUUGGCAUUUGGGACUAUGAUUCAUGUUGAUUUACAAAAGGCACCUAUCUCGGCUCCUUAGAUGUUGAUUUUGCUCUAUGAUUUGCACACUUACAUGUAAUUGAAGUUAGAUAAAGAAUAGUAAUGAAAAAGUGAAUUGAUGUUUGCAAAACUUUUUUUCUGUUUGGUAAUCAAAGAAUGAGAAGUGAAUAAAUAUUACAAUUUUUUAAUGGUAUUGUGUUAUAAUUUGUACAAUGAAUAUGCCGUAUUUAGCACACACCAACACUUCCUUUGGGUUUUCAUCAUAUCAUCUUUUGGUGCAAAGGACAUGUGUUUGUAUAUCCCAGCGGAUAGUAUGCAGAAACUAGCAACCCCACAACCAGCAUCCAUAAUGUGAACUACCCUGCAGACAGAUCAACUGUCUCACUGGUAGACAUAUUUCUUAACCUGUCAUGACAUGUCAUGACUCAUGAGGCUUGUAAUUCAGUAGAGUUUAAAUGUUUGCGGUAUAUGGUUUUAACUCUUAAUAGGCCUUGUUAAAAGGUGAGCUAUUGCGUUUCGCUUAUGUUUGUUGUAUCAACUAUAGAUUCACUGUCACUCACAGUGAGACAUUAAAUCUUAUACAUAGAUGUUAUAUAUUAUAAUAUAGGACAGAGGUUCUGGAUCUACACCCCAUUUAAGCUAUUUCCAAUUCCAAUACCGAACAUCCUUUAAAACUCAGUAAAUAAUAUGCUUAAGGACUUAUGCAGUGUUAAGAUCUAGAUAUAAUUAAAAUUUGCCUAUAACCUUGGGUGUUUAAUGUCUUGCUAGCAUCGUGUAAGUGUACACGUUUUUCACCCAUGUGCUAGUUUUCGCUAAUGUGUCUACUACUCUUGGCUGUCUUUCAUGCUAAAAUAAGAGUUAAUUAUGGGAUUAAAUAGUCAUACAAACCUAUGGCUCAUGCAUUUUUGUCGUAAUUCUUGGAUACCUGAUAAAGACAUUUCUAUUUGGUUGUGGAUUUGUCCUGGAAUUUUGUCUAAUAGAAAUAGUUAAAAUAGUCUGUAUCAGCUGAAAAGAUGCCCGCUUCAUAUGCCUCACAGUGAAGUUGGUUUGGGUAGCUACUUUAGUGGUUGUGUUUGAUGUAAUGUAUGUUACAGAUGAAGUUAUCGUGGAUGGCUGCUAUUUACUGGUGCAAGUAACUCUUUAAAACCCUAAGUACUUAGCCAAAUUGAUGGCUUUAAUGAUAUUUUGAUGAUUUUAUAGUUUUUUUAAUUUUUAUUUUUGAGAAUUCUUUUAUGCAAUUUAGCGAGUGCACAAACACACACAUGAUAAGUUAAGAUAGAAAUGAUAAUAUGAAAAAACCACUCUCAUUGACAUCGUGAAAUCAGUGUCACAGUAGUAUUGUGUCUAAAGUAUCUUUGUUAACAUCUACCUUUUUUAUGGUUCAGAAAUUGUAAAUUGCUGCUUCUAAAGUAACCAAUUCAUACCUUUAAGUUUAAUCUGGAAUCAUGCCCUAUGUUUGAUAUAUUUCAUAUCAAUAUAUGUUGCUUCAAGUACUUUAUAGUUUUUAUGUUAAAUGUUUCUCAGUUAUGAAGUAUAUUUAAUGCUAAGGCAGUUGCUAUAUGCAUGCUGCCAUGACAAAUCAACAGCUAACAAAUAGUGGAAACCGGAUGAUGGACAAGACUGAUCAAGCCAUUGGAGGUCAUAAAAGACUGUUCAAGACACCAUCAACGUUGGAACAGAAACUGCAGCUGCACUCAAGGAUCAGACUGAACAAAUGAGUCAGGCUGUUAAGUGUUAAUGAGCUGGACUAUCCAUUUCUCGAUCAAGAAAGCUUCUCAACUUGUGAAGGAACUUGGUAGGCAGGUUGCAACUGAUAGGUGUAUUAUGGCAUUACUCUUCCUAAUUAUUGCCAUUGGAGUCAUAGCUAUCAUUAUUGUAAAGGAGGGACAAUCAUGGCACGGGGAUUGAGGUCCCUAUUGAGGUGGAAAAAAGGAUGCAUAUUUAUUACAUUCGGAACAGAGGGUUUGGUAACAGAUUUAAUGUGUUGGGUGAUGACAAUCAUGGCACUCCGAAUGACUUAACGCAAUGACCCAGAAAUCAAGAAGGCAUGUGACUCAUACAGUGAUCAUUUUGGACAGUUCUUCAAACUGAUAUUCUAUGGCAUCCAAAAGGAGCAGUACUAGUAGAAGUUGGUUGUACAAAGUCAAAGCUUGUGUGCUUGCAUUUAUAGUGACUUGAUGUGAAGAGUGUGGAAGGAAGAAAAGAAGAAAAAUGUGUGAAAUAAAAGGAAAGGCCAUUCGGCCAUGGGUCUCCAGUUUCUACAUGACCACAUUCAUUUUUUUCUAAA
Molecule: long non-coding RNA, 2388 nt
Organism: Quercus lobata
Lineage: Eukaryota; Viridiplantae; Streptophyta; Magnoliopsida; Fagales; Fagaceae
Exons: 6
Source: RefSeq, a predicted model, not a curated record